AGAUGUAAGGACAAUCUGGAUGUGACAUCUGCCCUCCAUUGAUUGCCAGGGUCAAGUUGGCAGAUCUGGCUGGCUAGGUGGGUGUCCCCUUCCCCCUUACCACUCCAUGUGCAUCCCUCCCAAAGCAGCAUGCUUGAUCAAAGAAGACCUUCCUUUUUUGUUCAAGUGUAUAUGAAUAGCUGCACUCCCCUGCUAAAACCUCCAAACCAGUUCUCAAGGUCCAUAAAAACAACCAGGAUUACUACUUCUUUAAAAUUUGAGUAGAAUUCAACAGUGAAGCUAUUCAGUCCUGAGUUUUUCUUUGUU
Molecule: small nuclear RNA, 306 nt
Filed under: Oryctolagus cuniculus (rabbit)
Lineage: Eukaryota; Metazoa; Chordata; Mammalia; Lagomorpha; Leporidae
Description: 7SK RNA
Rfam family: 7SK RNA
About the family: 7SK was discovered as an abundant small nuclear RNA in the mid-70s but a possible function has only recently been suggested. Two independent studies have found that 7SK RNA binds the CDK9/cyclin T complex (known as elongation factor P-TEFb).
Source: Rfam by way of RNAcentral